CACCUCUCAACCACGCAUUUGCGUUGGCUUGGACCGUGGCCGCUGGCUGUGUACACAGCCCGGCCGAAAUGCACGCGGAGCGCUUACGCGCUUCUGCGACGUGAUACAGCGUUGUAGACCCCUCGCUGACCGUUGCAGGAGCACGGCUCCCCAGCUUAUCA
This 161-nucleotide unclassified non-coding RNA is filed under the name uncultured Sporidiobolales. RNAcentral describes it as "sequence contains ITS2". The record is from RNAcentral. Lineage: Eukaryota; Fungi; Basidiomycota; Microbotryomycetes; Sporidiobolales.